This 254-nucleotide ribosomal RNA is filed under the name uncultured Isosphaera sp. RNAcentral's name for it is "partial 16S ribosomal RNA". It matches the Rfam family "Bacterial small subunit ribosomal RNA", at positions 524 to 776 of the family's 1533-position model. Lineage: Bacteria; Pseudomonadati; Planctomycetota; Planctomycetia; Isosphaerales; Isosphaeraceae. The record is from RNAcentral.
GACGAACCGUGCAAACGUUAUUCGGAAUCACUGGGCUUAAAGGGCGCGUAGACGGGCGAUUGCGUCGAGUGCUGAAAGCCCCCGGCUCAACCGGGGAACGGGCCUCGAAACGGGUUGUCUCGAGUGGAGGAGGGGGACCCGGAACGUCCGGUGGAGCGGUGAAAUGCGUUGAGAUCGGACGGAACGCCGACGGCGAAAGCAGGGUCCUGGACUCCGACUGACGUUGAGGCGCGAAAGCCAGGGGAGCGAACGGG